RNAcentral lists this unclassified non-coding RNA (300 nucleotides) under Trechispora sp. RNAcentral describes it as "partial contains 5.8S ribosomal RNA, internal transcribed spacer 2, and large subunit ribosomal RNA". The stretch from base 1 to 52 matches the Rfam family "5.8S ribosomal RNA", at positions 103 to 154 of the family's 154-position model. The record is from RNAcentral. RNAcentral also lists the same sequence under 2 other names. Lineage: Eukaryota; Fungi; Basidiomycota; Agaricomycetes; Trechisporales; Hydnodontaceae.
AACGCACCUUGCGCUCCUUGGUAUUCCGAGGAGCAUGCCUGUUUGAGUGUCUUGAAGUCAUCAACCCCUCCCGUUUCUUGCGGGAAUAGGGGAUUGGAGUUGGGGGCCUGCUGCCGUGAGGCGGCUCCCCUCAAAUGCAUCGGUUGGACCUGUGGGUCGAACUCGACUGGGCGUUGUACCAUCCUCGCUCGACCGAGAAGUUCCCCUUUUGGUGUCCUCCCACGACUUGCCUGUGGAGCGGCGGUCAAUGUACUUUGAAAUUCUGACCUCAAAUCAGGUAGGACUACCCGCUGAACUUAA